Molecule: ribosomal RNA, 566 nt
Filed under: uncultured Anaerolineaceae bacterium
Lineage: Bacteria; Bacillati; Chloroflexota; Anaerolineae; Anaerolineales; Anaerolineaceae
Description: bacterial SSU rRNA
Rfam family: Bacterial small subunit ribosomal RNA
Source: RNAcentral
ACUCCUACGGGAGGCAGCAGUGGGGAAUUUUUCGCAAUGGGCGAAAGCCUGACCCAGCAACGCCGCGUGCACGAUGAAGGUCUUCGGAUCGUAAAGUGCUUUUCUGAGAGAUGAGAAAGGACAGUAUCUCAGGAAUAAGUCUCGGCUAACUACGUGCCAGCAGCCGCGGUAAAACGUAGGAGGCAAGCGUUAUCCGGAUUUACUGGGCGUAAAGCGUGUGCAGGUGGUUUGGUAAGUUGGAUGUGAAAGCUCCUGGCUCAACUGGGAGAGGUCGUUCAAUACUACCAGACUUGAGAGCAGUAGAGGGAGGUGGAAUUCCCGGUGUAGUGGUGAAAUGCGUAGAUAUCGGGAGGAACACCAGUGGCGAAAGCGGCCUCCUGGACUGUUUCUGACACUCAGACACGAAAGCUAGGGUAGCAAACGGGAUUAGAGACCCCGGUAGUCCUAGCUGUAAACGAUGUGAACUUGGCGUCGGCGGGUUCAAAGCCGUCGGUGCCGAAGCUAACGCGAUAAGUUCACCGCCUGGGGACUACGGCCGCAAGGUUAAAACUCAAAUGAAUUGACGG